Molecule: long non-coding RNA, 3444 nt
Organism: Prionailurus viverrinus (fishing cat)
Lineage: Eukaryota; Metazoa; Chordata; Mammalia; Carnivora; Felidae
Exons: 4
Source: RefSeq, a predicted model, not a curated record
ACUAAAUGAUUGCCUACGUGUAAACGCUUCUAAAAGCGUCUGCCACAGAGCAAGCGCUCAAUAGGGUUACCUGUGUCACUCUCAAUAUUAAUAACUAAAUGCCAAGAGUGGUGGUUUCUGGAAGUAAAACAUGAACUCUGCCCUCCGCUCAGAAUCUCCUGAGGAAAAGAAACAUGUAAACAAUAGUUCUUAGGGCGGCCAGUAUUAUUAAAACGGUGUGUAUGAGGAGUUUGACAAACUCACCUGGAGGGGAGGACUUUGCAGUAUGGUGUCCCACCUCUGCCUUCUGAGGUAGAUAGCAGGUCUGGGAUAGGACCAGAAAUUCUGCGCUUCUAACAAGCUUCCAAGGAUGUGGGUGCCGAUGAUCCACAGACCUUCCUUUGUGCAGCAGGCCAUUAAACAACCAAAGCACCUUGGGCUUCAAAAAAUAAUGGUGCCACUCAAUGCCCUGAUUCCUUCUCUACAACAUGGAUGGACCCUGCCCAAAGAGCCUCCUGGGAACAAUCAGAUGGACACCAAUUCACUUAAAAAAUCCUUGGAGAAAUAACCCUCUUAUCUGGAAAUCUCCUCACCUUUUAAGACCACACACAAAAGUAACAACAACAAAACCUACAGAAAGAAGACACAGAAGUUCUCAGGCCAACCAGAAAAGACAUCUCAAAGUGUUUAUAGGGAGGCUCCCAUUCCAUGGAAGUCUCCAAGAACUCAUACUGUACAGGUCAUGCUCAGGGUGACCUGUGGGAAACAGGCAUCAUUUUUCCUGGGGAUACCUUAUUGCAUAAAUGGUCACUAAAUUUCUAAGUGCCCUAAAACUUCCCACACUCUCUUAGCCUCUCUGGCCAUCUGCAAGAAAACAAAAAUGCCAAGACUGCCUUCAUCCCAGCUGGUCCUUGAUGGGUGCUCUGAGCUACCUGGCCUUUAUGAGCUGUUGGGAAAGGACAUGAGUGGAGCCUGGAUCUUGAAGAAGAGUGGGACCAAAUCUCCAAGCCCGUACCCCCUGCCCCCAGCUGUACCCCUACUGACCACGAAACCCUGUGCAAUCAUGGAGGUUCUCUGAGCCUCAGUUUCCCCAUUUGUAAAAUGGGGCAGAGUUUCUCGCCUUGUGAGAUUCUUGCAAAGACUUAGCUAAGAUCACUGUAUGAAGGCAUCUGGGACAGAGCCUAUACCUCACUGGCACUCAGUCAAUGUUAGCCGAGUCUCAGUUCUCCUGUCCUCCACAAAGGGCUCUGCUCCAUCAUGGCUGAUGUCACCUGCCACAGGCUACAUUGGACUUACUCUGACACCCCUACAUUCCUGAGGCUCCAGUAAUCCUAAAUACUUUUUUCCUCUAAAGAAACUGCCCCGUUCCCCAUGAGAGGAAACACAACAUCUCUAAAGGGACUUUUUCUUCAGAAUCAGCCAGCCUGAGAGAGCUUGGGGCUAUACCUGAUUUUUCUGGCCCUGGCAUCUGGGACUCUAUACCUGUCCCCUGCAGGGUCUCAGGUACCAAUCAAUGGCAAGAACCCAGCUAACAAAGGGUCAGCCGACAUACCACAACAGGACCCUUCCACUCUGAUGGGGAAGGUUUUCGUCAACAAAGGUUCUGUCUGUGCUGCUGCUGAAUUGUCAGGCUUCAUGAUAGACACAUUCCCUGGGUCUAGAUUUAUGGUUGCAACUCAAUAAUGCCAGCUUUGCAGCUGUGGGCUCAGAGGUGGCCCACCCCUUCCCAGAAAGGCAGGUUGUCAUAACCCCAAAAUAGGUAUUGGACACUCUGCUUCAGCCCUGGUGAAGGAGCAAGGGAUCUAGAACACUUCCACCCUCUAUCCCCUCUUCAUUUUGCCCUGAGCUCUGACCCUAAUGGAAGACCUGCAGCCUCUGGGUCCCUGAAGCCAUCUCAGGGCCUGAGCACCAGUGGGCCGGCCAGAGAAGAGUGGGCUCAUGGGGCUGGACCUUGGCAACCUCUGAGAAGCCCCUACCAGCUCCCCAGCCACUUUUUGGGAAGGGCCAGGAGUUGGAAAAUCACAUGGUGUUCUGGAAGUGAUUCCCUUGAUAUUUUCUGAGCUGUAAAGACAAGCCGGCUUCUGGGAAAGACUCCUGGGUCUGUAGGCCUAAAGUUCUCCAGAAUGCUACCUUUUCAGGAGCAGAAAGAAUGAGUGAUACAUUCCUGGGAUGGAUCGUAGCAGGUAUGACCUAUGGAACAGGACAAAAGCAAAUGAACAGCACUUCAUUAAGAUCCCCUGAGUAGCUAAGAGUAUGUGUAGGGUGGGGGAGGAGUCGAGGAAUGAGGCCAACAGAGAAAAUGCAUUCGUGUCAAAGGACCGACUUCCUUUUUCAAUCCAAAGGAAUUCCAUCUAAGCUCCCACCAGCCAGAGAACGGAAGUGUGUUGUGCUGGAGCAGUUUAGGCAGUGUCGGAAUUAAUCUUUUAAAAACUGUCUCGGAUGGCUCGGCCACCUUGUGCGAGAUUCGUAAACCGUGUGCAAAACUCAGACUUGUGCAGGCAACCAGAGAAGGUAAGAACCUGUCUUCUGCACGCAGGGCUUCCCCUGCCUGAUUUGUGCUUUGUCUAACCCCAGGAUCUCUCUUCUUCCCAGCGGCUCUUUUUAAAGCCUGGUGAAGGCAGGCGAGGCCAAAUUGGCUACAGGGUAGAACCCGCUAUUCUCCCUCUUGGUGAGCUGCUGAGCAUCUAUUUCAAAUACCUCUAAAGGAUGGACAGCCUGAGGGCUGAGUUCCCGAAUGCUUUUGAUGCUGGGCUCUUGAAGAUUCUAUGUCUGACUUUCAGAAUGAAAGCAGAUGCAGUAACCCCACCCAGGCACAUUGCAGUCACUGGCUGGCAAGGGAGGAGGGGUAUUAGCAAAAAGUAGUGCAAAGGUAGGGAGGUGGGAUUUGGCACUAGGUAGAGCACGUAGAGUCGGUGGGAAGGAGGCAUUGGCAUAAAGCGAAGGUAGAGAAUAUUCACCCUCUGGGGAUAGGUUACUCCGUAUAGAUGACCACAAAUAAGGAACAAAAACACCUGGGUCAAAUCCUUCCCAGAGUAUGCCAGCUCCCUGCCAGGGUCUGUAUUCAGGACCAAGGUGUAGGUGCUGAUUUAGCUGAAGGUCCCUGUCAUUCCCCCAGCCCCCAAUCCCAGAGGUCACAUGCUCAUUGUCCCACUUAAGCCAAAUUUUUUUUUCUUGCCUUAAGCCAACACAUCCCCAAAACAUAUCCUAUAAAAGUAGAUUUCAUAAAGAAGAUAAAUAUUUUGAAUCAAGAAGAGGAUGAAAACAAGUUGUAAACAUGUAACUGAAACAAAAAUACACAUCAGUUCACUUACAGAACCAAACAGGGUUACAUCGAAUCAUUUAAAAUGAAAGCAAAGGAAAACUCUUCUCGGGAGCUCUUAAAUUUAGGAAAAGAAUCACUGUAGCAUGCUCACCUUGAACCAGGGAUUGGAUAUUGUGGUUCUUGUACAAAGGAAAAUCUGGGAG